This 393-nucleotide ribosomal RNA is filed under the name uncultured bacterium. RNAcentral's name for it is "bacterial SSU rRNA". It matches the Rfam family "Bacterial small subunit ribosomal RNA", at positions 30 to 424 of the family's 1533-position model. The record is from RNAcentral.
AUUGAACGCUGGCGGCAUGCCUUACACAUGCAAGUCGAACGGCAGCACGGGAGCAAUCCUGGUGGCGAGUGGCGAACGGGUGAGUAAUAUAUCGGAACGUGCCCAGUCGUGGGGAUAACGUAGCGAAAGCUACGCUAAUACCGCAUACGAUCUAUGGAUGAAAGCGGGGGACCGCAAGACCUCGCGCGAUUGGAGCGGCCGAUAUCAGAUUAGGUAGUUGGUGAGGUAAAGGCUCACCAAGCCGACGAUCUGUAGCUGGUCUGAGAGGACGACCAGCCACACUGGGACUGAGACACGGCCCAGACUCCUACGGGAGGCAGCAGUGGGGAAUUUUGGACAAUGGGCGCAAGCCUGAUCCAGCAAUGCCGCGUGCAGGAUGAAGGCCUUCGGGUU